GAUCAUGGCUCAGGAUAAACGCUGGCGGCGUGCUUAACACAUGCAAGUCGAACGAAGUUUUUCUUUCGGGAGGAACUUAGUGGCGGACGGGUGCGUAACGCGUGGGUAACCUGCCCUGUACAGGGGGACAACAGCUGGAAACGGCUGCUAAUACCGCAUAAGCCCUUAGCGCUGCAUGGUGCAUAGGGAAAAGGAGCAAUCCGGUACAGGAUGGACCCGCGUCUGAUUAGCCAGUUGGCAGGGUAACGG
This 249-nucleotide ribosomal RNA is filed under the name uncultured bacterium. RNAcentral describes it as "partial 16S ribosomal RNA". It matches the Rfam family "Bacterial small subunit ribosomal RNA", at positions 15 to 263 of the family's 1533-position model. The record is from RNAcentral.